CCUCGGGUUGCAGCAGUCGAGAAUCUUCCGCAAUGGACGAAAGUCUGACGGAGCGACGCCGCGUGCGGGAUGAAGGCUUUCGGGUUGUAAACCGCUGUCAGUGGGGAGGAAAUGCAUCAGGGUUCUCCCUGGUGUUUGACCGACCCGCAGAGGAAGCGCAGGCUAAGUUCGUGCCAGCAGCCGCGGUAACACGAACUGCGCGAACGUUAUUCGGGAUCACUGGGCUUAAAGAGUUCGUAGGCGGCCUUUCAAGUCGGGUGUGAAAUCCCUCGGCUCAACCGAGGAAUUGCGCCUGAUACUGUUGGGCUUGAGGGGGAUAGGGGUGAGCGGAACUGAUGGUGGAGCGGUGAAAUGCGUUGAUAUCAUCAGGAACACCGGUGGCGAAGGCGGCUCACUGGAUCUCUUCUGACGCUGAGGAACGAAAGCUAGGGGAGCGAACGGGAUUAGAUACCCCGGUAGUC
RNAcentral lists this ribosomal RNA (461 nucleotides) under uncultured bacterium. RNAcentral's name for it is "partial 16S ribosomal RNA". It matches the Rfam family "Bacterial small subunit ribosomal RNA", at positions 339 to 795 of the family's 1533-position model. The record is from RNAcentral.